Capsicum annuum is the source of this 1686-nucleotide long non-coding RNA. RefSeq lists it as uncharacterized. The transcript is spliced from 3 exons. The record is from RefSeq and is a predicted model, not a curated record. Lineage: Eukaryota; Viridiplantae; Streptophyta; Magnoliopsida; Solanales; Solanaceae.
CUUAAUUUGCAGGUCCCUCCGUGUCAAGAACGGCCCAUUUUAAGUUGUAUUCUGAACAAGGACACUCUCAAAUUUCUUUAAGAAGAAAUGGUCAUGCUUUUUUUCGUUCUAUGUUCGAAGACACGAGGGGUCAACCAAACAAGGAUAUGGAGAGGGACCCUGUUGAUUUUACUUUGCCUUUGAUCAAGAAGCUAGACAAGCCCAUUAUUUUUGACAACGUUGAAGAAGUUGAAGAUCAAAACUUGGAUUUGAACUUGAAGCUUUAGAAUAUGAUCCUACAAGUUAUGUUGGUCUUUUCCUUUUGUUUGUGUUUUAGAUGUUUCUUCUUGUAAUAUCCCUCACCUCCCACCCCACCCCUACCACCGCCACCGUCCCUCUCCAUCCUACCCCACACUUCCCCUACCCCUCGCUUCCUUUGGUUUUCUUUUUGAUAUUAGAAUCGAAUGUCUUCAAAGUUGGUUUUCAUCAAUUUAAAACUUCUAAAAAUAUUUUUUUUAUUACUCUUCUCUUUAUCAAUGAUAUUUUAAUUGGAGGGUUUCUCCAUUCUCAACACUCAAACACGAGACCUCUAAUUUAUGAUUGAGGGAUUAAAUCCAUCUCUCUCCUUCCAGAUCUCAUUUUGAAUAUAUUUGGCAUCAUUAUCUGAUUAAUUUAAUUUUGUGUUGUACUAUAGUGUUUGUUGAAGAGGAAAGCUCUCAUGAUCAAAGGAGUUUUCUAUUCUCAAUGGUCGAAUAUGAAAUUUCUAACUAAGAAUAAAGAAAUCACAUUCAUUCUACCACACCCCUUAGUGGUAUUUUUGUUUCUAGGAAUAUAUAAGAAUAUAUAAGGUGAUGUGACAUUUUUUUAUGACAAACCAUGUUUUUCUGGUCUUUUAUCUUCUAAUUUUACUAAAACAAGAUCAUACGUUAGAGGUUGUUGUCAAAAAGCCCCUCAACUUAGCAAUAUAAUAAUUUUUUUUAAUAUAUAGAAGUGGCUUGGCAAGCACCUCUCGGUUUUCUUGCCAGCUUACCACCAAGAGCUUCUUUGUCAUUUUAACUAGAACUUUAUAAUAUGUGUUAGAUCGUUGUGACACCUGCUGCACGUAGCAAUCUGAACACAGCUUCAUGCUGAUCAGAGCAUUCAAACUCCACUGAGCUUCUUCUUCAUCUCAGAAUGUUGUAAGAUUCAAUUAAUCUUGAGGUACCAGAUUUGUGUUACUGUUGCAAAUUUUGUCAUUUGAGAACUUCAAGGACUCCAUCAAAUCCAUGUCGUAGAUUUUUUGAAUGUAAAGUUUCAAAGGAAAAUGAUGAAUGUGGCUACUUUAGAUGGAUUGAUCCAAAAUUUUUGAUUGUUGAGCAUCAAUCUCUUGGGAUGGAAUCAAGCUUAAUGAAUAGAUUUAAAGAUGGUGAAAAUUUGUGUGAUCGACCCAAGGAAAAGCUCAAAGAGGUUGAAGAAGAGAGGGACACUUUGUGUGAGAAGUUGAAAGAUAGUGAAGAAAAAUUGAUUGCAUUGAAGCAAAAAUUCAAAAAAAUUAAACUUGAUAAGGAAUGUGCAAAUCUCAAAUUUAAUAGACUUUUACUGCUUCUUCUCUGUGUUCUUACUGUAAAGUGUUUCUUUCCUAUGGUGUAAGCUAGUAGUUAAGCUUGGGUACUGAAUAAUUAAUUGGGUAUUGAUUAGUUUAUCCUAGUUAGUAUAUAGUGGAGUUGU